UACGUAGGGCGCAAGCGUUGUCCGGAAUUAUUGGGCGUAAAGAGCUCGUAGGCGGUUUGUCGCGUCUGCUGUGAAAACCUAAGGCUCAACCUUGGGCUUGCAGUGGGUACGGGCAGACUAGAGUGCGGUAGGGGUGACUGGAAUUCCUGGUGUAGCGGUGGAAUGCGCAGAUAUCAGGAGGAACACCGAUGGCGAAGGCAGGUCACUGGGCCGCAAAUGACGCUGAGGAGCGAAAGCAUGGGGAGCGAACAGG
RNAcentral lists this ribosomal RNA (253 nucleotides) under uncultured bacterium. RNAcentral's name for it is "partial 16S ribosomal RNA". It matches the Rfam family "Bacterial small subunit ribosomal RNA", at positions 524 to 776 of the family's 1533-position model. The record is from RNAcentral.